CCUACGGGGCGCUGCAGUGGGGAAUAUUGGACAAUGGGCGAAAGCCUGAUCCAGCCAUGCCGCGUGUGUGAAGAAGGCCUUCGGGUUGUAAAGCACUUUCAGUGGGGAAGAAAGCCUUGGGGCUAAUACCCUCGAGGAAGGACAUCACCCACAGAAGAAGCACCGGCUAACUCCGUGCCAGCAGCCGCGGUAAUACGGAGGGUGCGAGCGUUAAUCGGAAUUACUGGGCGUAAAGCGCGCGUAGGCGGUCUGAUAAGCCGGUUGUGAAAGCCCCGGGCUCAACCUGGGAACGGCAUCCGGAACUGUCAGGCUAGAGUGCAGGAGAGGAAGGUAGAAUUCCCGGUGUAGCGGUGAAAUGCGUAGAGAUCGGGAGGAAUACCAGUGGCGAAGGCGGCCUUCUGGACUGACACUGACGCUGAGGUACGAAAGCGUGGGUAGCAAACAGGAUUAGAUACCCGAGUAGUC
RNAcentral lists this ribosomal RNA (465 nucleotides) under Vreelandella stevensii. RNAcentral's name for it is "partial 16S ribosomal RNA". It matches the Rfam family "Bacterial small subunit ribosomal RNA", at positions 338 to 795 of the family's 1533-position model. The record is from RNAcentral. Lineage: Bacteria; Pseudomonadati; Pseudomonadota; Gammaproteobacteria; Oceanospirillales; Halomonadaceae.